AGAGUUUGAUCCUGGCUCAGGAUAAACGUUGGCGGUGUGCUUUAUGCAUGCAAGUCGUACGGUUCUGCUUGCAGAACAGUGGCGAACGGGUGAGUAACACGUAAGUAACCUGCCCUUAAGUGGGGGAUAACCCCGGGAAACUGGGGCUAAUACCGCAUGUGGUCUUUCCACCCAAGUGGAAAGACUAAAGCCUUCGGGCGCUCAGGGAGGGGCUUGCGUCCGAUUAGCUUGUUGGUGAGGUAACGGCCCACCAAGGCGAUGAUCGGUAGCUGGUCUGAGAGGAUGAUCAGCCACACUGGGACUGAGACGCGGCCCAGACUCCUACGGGAGGCAGC
RNAcentral lists this ribosomal RNA (335 nucleotides) under uncultured bacterium. Its description in RNAcentral is "bacterial SSU rRNA". It matches the Rfam family "Bacterial small subunit ribosomal RNA", at positions 8 to 352 of the family's 1533-position model. The record is from RNAcentral.